GGCGGCGCCUCGAGCUCUCGGCAAUAAAACUUUUUGAUGUUCACGUUGCUAAUUGCCGAGGUCCUCUUCCAGGAUUGGCUACCUCCUCAUAACCAUAAGAUAAUUAAAACUUGGCGGGGGGAGGGGCAGGGUUAAAAAAACUUUUUUUAUCAGUCAGAGGAUAAUGCAAGUGUUUAACAGAUGCUUCACUAUUAAAAUAUUUUCCCCCCAAGUCUCAAAUAUUGAAGAAUCUCUAACCAGGCACAACAAAUGAGACCCAAGUGCUCAUAGAACAUUCCAAAGAGUCAACAGAGAGAAGUGGAAAGUAUUAGAAACAUGAUUGUGUUUGCAAAGGGAGACAUAAACAUGGGGAAAUUGAGGCAGAGAAGCCAAGACAUGCGCUAAAGGUCCAUGCAGGCUAUGAAUGGAGCUGGAAUGUAAACGCAGGCCAUGUGA
Pan troglodytes (chimpanzee) is the source of this 435-nucleotide long non-coding RNA. RefSeq lists it as uncharacterized. The record is from RefSeq and is a predicted model, not a curated record. NCBI's taxonomy places the organism in Eukaryota, Metazoa, Chordata, Mammalia, Primates, Hominidae. The transcript is spliced from 3 exons.